ACACAAUGCCCGGGAAGCUCCAGGCACCUGAAGUCUCCUCGCCCUGCCUUGCUGCGCCCCUCACAAAGGCGUCCGAGGCGAAGAGCUGCCUCCGCGGAGUUUCCCGCCUCCCCGGCCUGCGGACCCGCGGCGGGGUCUCCUCUCUGAGGCGGCUCCGCGCAGGCCCCGCCCCCUUCGGCCAAGCAGGCGCGAGAGCGCAUCCAGGGCGGGCGCAGGCGAGCGGCGCGCGGAGGAGCAGCUGAGGCGCCUGUUCCGAGAGAGGAGGACGCCGCCGGGAGGAGUUUGCUCGUCGCCUCGCAGCCAGCCGGGGAAAGCCAGCCUUGAAGGGCAAGCGGGGAAGUCGCCACUGCCGCCGCCAGCCGAGCCACCUGCACGCCUGCCAGACGCCAUGGGUAAGAGAAGGGCUGCUUCGGCUCUUGCCUUGAAAACUGCCUUCCCCUCAACCCCUUUAGGCGGGUGUGAGGAGGGCGGGACCCAAACUUGAGUAAUUUUUGCAGCGGAGGGAACCUCAAACUCUUAAGCGCCCCUGCAUUUUACCCUCUGGAGAAGCCUCCUUUCCUCUUAUUGCAGAUACUGGCUGGGAUGGGAGAGGCACUCUGCACAUGCUCUUGUGCGCGCGGGUCUUUCUUUGGGGAGGCGGGAGAGAGGUGCUGAGCAUUGGGAAGAAGUUGGGAGAUGCUUUACCCUUUGAGAUCCUUGGGUCUUCCUCGGGAUGCUGAGAGGAGGGAAGGGGAAGCGACGAAAUGCAGUCGAGGAAGCCCUGAGAUACCAGGAAGGCUCCCUCUUCUCCCUUUAACUUUGCAGUAAGGUUAGAGCCCCGCUGGCUACAGAUCACCCUGCAGUGGAGUUUUGUCUGCUCUCUUAAAGCUUCUGACCAGACACAAAGCAGUGUGCAGGAGCAAGCUUAAGAUGCAUGCUUUGUUUUGGUACAUGACUUCAAAACUGUAACAUGACUUUAAAACGGCAAUACUGCCCUGCAUAUAGUUCAUGGACUCUCACACUCUUACUGUGUCCCUUUUUAAAAUUGUAACAAAUCAGAUCUAAUCUGCCUCUGGUGGGUUGGAGCUGGAUUUUGGAAAGGGAUGGUUAGAGGAAAGGCAUAAGCAAACAGUUUCACCUUUUUGAGAUCUUGGCCACGGUGUUCGCUUUUUUGAAUUAAGUGUGUCCACCCAGCCCAACUGAGAAUUUAUACUUGGCUAUAAGUCAUAAGUCCUGGCUUGUGUCUUCGUUUAGGGUUGUAUGACUUUAAAGCCUGCUUCAUUAAACACAAUCAAUAGAUAUAUUCUGAAAGUCAUGAACCGAGCGGGUGUCCUUGUGGGAAAGGUUUUGCCUGAUCUUUGUGCAAAUGACAACCCUCUCUACUUUACACCUCCUUUUACUUUACAUAUCCCUCCCUCCCCACAAAAAAGGCAUUUAACUACUUUUAAAGCUCUUUUGAGUUAUUGAAAUAACGAUGCACUGGAGUUCAGUCUUGAUGGCUAAAAGUAUAUGGCAAAGAUUUCACUAAUGCAUUCCAGCUGUAGACUGCUUAAAAAAAAAGUCUCAGGGAUUUAUUUUUUGGAUGAAGUUGUGAGAAUUAAGUACAGUAUCAGUUCUUUGUGACACGUGUAAUAAUUUUACAGUCAGCAUAAAUGUACUGAUGCACUCCUGAGACGCUGCUUUGCUUAUGUGGUCAUCAAAUAAAUAGGUAUAUAGUACAUAGCAUAUGGAAGGUGUAGUGACUGACUUGAAUUAAUUGCAGGAAGUCCUUAUUUAGUGAGGGCCCGUUGUUGCAGGGGGGUGGGCAGAGGUAGAGAAAGUUUGGCAUACUGAUCAGGAAGAGUAGGUAUAGAAAUUGUAGGUUAGAGAUAACACUAAAGUGGCAGGAAAAAUAGCCAAGAAUGUUUUCCCCCAUUGUGGUAGAGUAUAUUCACAGUGUAUUUUUUAUGACCAAAACUUCAUAGGUGUCCUAACAGGAUUUUAUGCAGAAAAAAAUAUUUAUUUAGGGAAGGUCUUUAACAAUGGCUGCUC
Molecule: long non-coding RNA, 2010 nt
Filed under: Podarcis lilfordi (Lilford's wall lizard)
Lineage: Eukaryota; Metazoa; Chordata; Lepidosauria; Squamata; Lacertidae
Source: RNAcentral